Molecule: ribosomal RNA, 546 nt
Filed under: Salmonella enterica subsp. enterica serovar Give
Lineage: Bacteria; Pseudomonadati; Pseudomonadota; Gammaproteobacteria; Enterobacterales; Enterobacteriaceae
Description: partial 23S ribosomal RNA
Rfam family: Bacterial large subunit ribosomal RNA
Source: RNAcentral
GGUUAACCGAAUAGGGGAGCCGGAGGGAAACCGAGUCUUAACCGGGCGUUAAGUUGCAGGGUAUAGACCCGAAACCCGGUGAUCUAGCCAUGGGCAGGUUGAAGGUUGGGUAACACUAACUGGAGGACCGAACCGACUAAUGUUGAAAAAUUAGCGGAUGACCUGUGGCUGGGGGUGAAAGGCCAAUCAAACCGGGAGAUAGCUGGUUCUCCCCGAAAGCUAUUUAGGUAGCGCCUCGUGAAUUCAUCUCCGGGGGUAGAGCACUGUUUCGGCUAGGGGGCCAUCCCGGCUUACCAACCCGAUGCAAACUGCGAAUACCGGAGAAUGUUAUCACGGGAGACACACGGCGGGUGCUAACGUCCGUCGUGAAGAGGGAAACAACCCAGACCGCCAGCUAAGGUCCCAAAGUCAUGGUUAAGUGGGAAACGAUGUGGGAAGGCCCAGACAGCCAGGAUGUUGGCUUAGAAGCAGCCAUCAUUUAAAGAAAGCGUAAUAGCUCACUGGUCGAGUCGGCCUGCGCGGAAGAUGUAACGGGGCUAAACCAUG